UAGAGUGCUCAAGCAGACUCUGCUAAAACACUGCAGCGUGACUUGGCUGUUGCUGAAAGGCGUUUCCCAGGCUGGUCUGCUGGCUCCUAAACAUGAUGUCCAGCACACUGAUAGGACGUGGGAGAUUCCUGUCCUUUCCACUCUUCAGUCUGCUCCAGCCCACCCACGUCGUACGUGGCCCUGGAUCCUUCAUGUUCAUGAAGUUCCCAGAAAUCCACAGCAGCAUGCCUGCCAAGCUCUCGGUGGGCAUCGUUCUCAAGGUCGUUGUUAUUGCGUGAGAGGCUGGGGCUGCCGCAUUGACUCAUUCUUUAUCAAAUCUGUGGAUGGUCCUCAGAGCCCUGGAACAUUGGCAACAGCUAGGAAACAGAGACCCAAGAAGGAUUUACUCAUGGCCAGAAGCAGUUUGUUGCAGAGCUGAGAGGAUCCAGGUCCACUUGUAUGGAAUCUUGACAGGCGAUUGGCCAGACUGUGAAGGAAAUCCUGCCACCUCCCAUGUCUAAACCCACCCACCAGUCCAGCCGGGGAAACUUUGGAUCAAAAGGAUACCUGUCCAGACUCUAGAACCUGCCUGGAAGGGACCCAGCCCUGUCAUCCUCACCAUCCCAACUGCUGUGAAAGUAGCUAGUGUCGUCCCUUGAAGUUAUCACUCCCAAUUAAAGAAAGCCAUUGAGGAUGACUGAC
Molecule: long non-coding RNA, 681 nt
Organism: Mus musculus (house mouse)
Lineage: Eukaryota; Metazoa; Chordata; Mammalia; Rodentia; Muridae
Product: predicted gene, 38901
Exons: 3
Source: RefSeq, a predicted model, not a curated record